UACGUAGGGUGCAAGCGUUAAUCGGAAUUACUGGGCGUAAAGCGUGCGCAGGCGGUUCUAUAAGACAGAUGUGAAAUCCCCGGGCUCAACCUGGGAACUGCAUUUGUGACUGUAGAGCUGGAGUACGGCAGAGGGGGAUGGAAUUCCGCGUGUAGCAGUGAAAUGCGUAGAUAUGCGGAGGAACACCGAUGGCGAAGGCAAUCCCCUGGGCCUGCACUGACGCUCAUGCACGAAAGCGUGGGGAGCAAACAGG
This 253-nucleotide ribosomal RNA is filed under the name uncultured bacterium. RNAcentral describes it as "partial 16S ribosomal RNA". It matches the Rfam family "Bacterial small subunit ribosomal RNA", at positions 524 to 776 of the family's 1533-position model. The record is from RNAcentral.